Molecule: ribosomal RNA, 253 nt
Filed under: uncultured bacterium
Lineage: Bacteria
Description: partial 16S ribosomal RNA
Rfam family: Bacterial small subunit ribosomal RNA
Source: RNAcentral
UACGUAGGGGCCUAGCGUUGUCCGGAAUUAUUGGGCCUAAAGCAUCCGUAGCCGGUCCUACAAGUCUUCCGUUAAAUCCACCUGCUUAACAGAUGGGCUGCGGAAGAUACUAUAGGGCUAGGAGGCGGGAGAGGCAAGCGGUACUCAGUGGGUAGGGGUAAAAUCCUCUGAUCCAUUGAAGACCACCAGUGGCGAAGGCGGCUUGCCAGAACGCGCUCGACGGUGAGGGAUGAAAGCUGGGGGAGCAAACCGG